Molecule: ribosomal RNA, 465 nt
Filed under: Vreelandella stevensii
Lineage: Bacteria; Pseudomonadati; Pseudomonadota; Gammaproteobacteria; Oceanospirillales; Halomonadaceae
Description: partial 16S ribosomal RNA
Rfam family: Bacterial small subunit ribosomal RNA
Source: RNAcentral
CCUACGGGGGGCUGCAGUGGGGAAUAUUGGACAAUGGGCGAAAGCCUGAUCCAGCCAUGCCGCGUGUGUGAAGAAGGCCUUCGGGUUGUAAAGCACUUUCAGUGGGGAAGAAAGCCUUGGGGCUAAUACCCUCGAGGAAGGACAUCACCCACAGAAGAAGCACCGGCUAACUCCGUGCCAGCAGCCGCGGUAAUACGGAGGGUGCGAGCGUUAAUCGGAAUUACUGGGCGUAAAGCGCGCGUAGGCGGUCUGAUAAGCCGGUUGUGAAAGCCCCGGGCUCAACCUGGGAACGGCAUCCGGAACUGUCAGGCUAGAGUGCAGGAGAGGAAGGUAGAAUUCCCGGUGUAGCGGUGAAAUGCGUAGAGAUCGGGAGGAAUACCAGUGGCGAAGGCGACCUUCUGGACUGACACUGACGCUGAGGUGCGAAAGCGUGGGUAGCAAACAGGAUUAGAUACCCGUGUAGUC